RNAcentral lists this ribosomal RNA (445 nucleotides) under uncultured bacterium. RNAcentral describes it as "bacterial SSU rRNA". It matches the Rfam family "Bacterial small subunit ribosomal RNA", at positions 9 to 447 of the family's 1533-position model. The record is from RNAcentral.
GAGUUUGAUCGUGGCUCAGGAUGAACGCUAGCGACAGGCUUAACACAUGCAAGUCGAGGGGCAGCGGGGUGUAGCAAUACACCGCCGGCGACCGGCGCACGGGUGAGUAACGCGUAUGCAACUUGCCUAUCAGAGGGGGAUAACGGCUGGAAACGGUCGCUAAUACCGCAUGACAUAUUCGAGUGGCAUCACUUGGAUAUCAAAGGAGCAAUCCGCUGAAAGAUGGGCUCGCGUCUGAUUAGAUAGUUGGUGGGGUAACGGCCUACCAAGUCGACGAUCAGUAGCCGGACUGAGAGGUUGAACGGCCACAUUGGGACUGAGAUACAGCCCAGACUCCUACGGGAGGCAGCAGUGGGGAAUAUUGCACAAUGGGGGAAACCCUGAUGCAGCGACGCCGCGUGAAGGAAGAAGUAUCUCGGUAUGUAAACUUCUAUCAGCAGGGAAG